CCGCUGAUAUUGAUGAUGCGGCCCCAGCCCUGCUCGGCCAUCAGAGGCGCAACCUCGCGGGCCAUGCGCAGAUAGCCCAUAACCUUGACGUUGACGUCGCUCCAGAACAUCUCGUCGGUAAUCUCGCUCAGCGAUGGCGGCUUCGCCUGCCCGCUCGGCUGCGCCGCGCUGUUCACCAGCACAUCGAUCCGUCCAAAGUCCGAACGGAUCGCGGCGACGGCGGCGCGCACCGCCUCG
Molecule: unclassified non-coding RNA, 237 nt
Filed under: Hevea brasiliensis (rubber tree)
Lineage: Eukaryota; Viridiplantae; Streptophyta; Magnoliopsida; Malpighiales; Euphorbiaceae
Source: RNAcentral